UACGGAGGGUGCAAGCGUUAAUCGGAAUAAUUGGGCGUAAAGAGUGCGUAGGUGGUUCGCUAAGUGAGUUGUGAAAGCAUGGGCUUAACCUGUGUCUGUCAACUCAAACGGGCGAACUAGAGUACAGUAGAGGGUUGUGGAAUUUCCGGUGUAGCGGUGAAAUGCGUAGAGAUCGGAAGGAACAUCAGUGGCGAAGGCGGCAACCUGGACUGAAACUGACACUGAGGCACGAAAGCGUGGGGAGC
Molecule: ribosomal RNA, 245 nt
Filed under: uncultured bacterium
Lineage: Bacteria
Description: partial 16S ribosomal RNA
Rfam family: Bacterial small subunit ribosomal RNA
Source: RNAcentral